GACGAACGCUGGCGGCGUGCCUAAUACAUGCAAGUCGAACGCAUUUUCUUUCACCGUAGCUUGCUACACCGAAAGAAAAUGAGUGGCGAACGGGUGAGUAACACGUGGGUAACCUGCCCAUCAGCGGGGGAUAACACUUGGAAACAGGUGCUAAUACCGCAUAAUUCCAUUUACCGCAUGGUAGAUGGAUGAAAGGCGCUUUUGCGUCACUGAUGGAUGGACCCGCGGUGCAUUAGCUAGUUGGUGGGGUAACGGCCUACCAAGGCUGCGAUGCAUAGCCGACCUGAGAGGGUGAUCGGCCACACUGGGACUGAGACACGGCCCAGACGCCUACGGGAGGCAGCAGUAGGGAAUCUUCGGCAAUGGACACAAGUCUGACCGAGCAACGCCGCGUGAGUGAAGAAGGUUUUCGGAUCGUAAAACUCUGUUGUUAGAGAAGAACAAGGAUGAGAGUGGAAAGUUCAUCCCUUGACGGUAUCUAACCAGAAAGCCACGGCUAACUACGUG
RNAcentral lists this ribosomal RNA (507 nucleotides) under uncultured bacterium. RNAcentral describes it as "partial 16S ribosomal RNA". It matches the Rfam family "Bacterial small subunit ribosomal RNA", at positions 28 to 507 of the family's 1533-position model. The record is from RNAcentral.